AACGAACGCUGGCGGCGCGCCUAAUACAUGCAAGUCGAGCGAGAAGACGUAGCAAUACGUUUGUAAAGCGGCGAACGGGUGAGGAAUACAUGGGUAACCUACCCUCGAGUGGGGAAUAACUAGCCGAAAGGUUAGCUAAUACCGCGUACGCUCCUUGGACUUCGGUUCAGGGAGGAAAGCGAUACCGUGGGUAUCGCGCUCUUGGAUGGGCUCAUGUCCUAUCAGCUUGUUGGNGAGGUAACGGCUCACCAAGGCUUCGACGGGUAGCUGGUCUGAGAGGACGAUCAGCCACACUGGCACUGCGACACGGGCCAGACUCCUACGGGAGGCAGCAGUAAGGAAUAUUGCGCAAUGGGCGAAAGCCUGACGCAGCGACGCCGCGGUGGGGGA
Molecule: ribosomal RNA, 390 nt
Filed under: uncultured bacterium
Lineage: Bacteria
Description: bacterial SSU rRNA
Rfam family: Bacterial small subunit ribosomal RNA
Source: RNAcentral